This 460-nucleotide ribosomal RNA is filed under the name uncultured bacterium. Its description in RNAcentral is "partial 16S ribosomal RNA". It matches the Rfam family "Bacterial small subunit ribosomal RNA", at positions 338 to 795 of the family's 1533-position model. The record is from RNAcentral.
CCUACGGGAGGCAGCAGUGAGGAAUAUUGGUCAAUGGGCGCGAGCCUGAACCAGCCAAGUAGCGUGAAGGAUGACUGCCCUACGGGUUGUAAACUUCUUUUAUAAAGGAAUAAAGUGAGGCACGUGUGCCUUUUUGUAUGUACUUUAUGAAUAAGGAUCGGCUAACUCCGUGCCAGCAGCCGCGGUAAUACGGCGGAUCGGAGCGUUAUCUGGAGUUACUGGGUUUAAAGGGAGCGUAGAUGGGUUGUUAAGUCAGUUGUGAAAGGUUGGGGCUCAACCGUAAAAGUGCAAUUGAUACUGGCAGUCUUGAGUACAGUUGAGGUAAGCGGAAUUCGUGGUGUAGCGGUGAAAUGCUUAGAUAUCACGAAGAACUCCGAUUGCGAAGGCAGCUUACUAAACUGCCACUGACAUUGAUGCUCGAAAGUGUGGGUAUCAAACAGGAUUAGAUACCCGAGUAGUC